Molecule: ribosomal RNA, 2228 nt
Filed under: Salmonella enterica subsp. enterica serovar Livingstone
Lineage: Bacteria; Pseudomonadati; Pseudomonadota; Gammaproteobacteria; Enterobacterales; Enterobacteriaceae
Description: partial 23S ribosomal RNA
Rfam family: Bacterial large subunit ribosomal RNA
Source: RNAcentral
GGGUUGUGAGGUUAAGCGACUAAGCGUACACGGUGGAUGCCCUGGCAGUCAGAGGCGAUGAAGGGCGUGCUAAUCUGCGAUAAGCGCCGGUAAGGUGAUAUGAACCGUUAUAACCGGCGAUACCCGAAUGGGGAAACCCAGUGUGACUCGUCACACUAUCAUUAACUGAAUCCAUAGGUUAAUGAGGCGAACCGGGGGAACUGAAACAUCUAAGUACCCCGAGGAAAAGAAAUCAACCGAGAUUCCCCCAGUAGCGGCGAGCGAACGGGGAGGAGCCCAGAGCCUGAAUCAGCAUGUGUGUUAGUGGAAGCGUCUGGAAAGGCGCGCGAUACAGGGUGACAGCCCCGUACACAAAAGCGCAUGUGCUGUGAGCUCGAUGAGUAGGGCGGGACACGUGGUAUCCUGUCUGAAUAUGGGGGGACCAUCCUCCAAGGCUAAAUACUCCUGACUGACCGAUAGUGAACCAGUACCGUGAGGGAAAGGCGAAAAGAACCCCGGCGAGGGGAGUGAAAAAGAACCUGAAACCGUGUACGUACAAGCAGUGGGAGCCCCACCACCAAAGCAUUCUCUGGUGUUGAAGGCCCUGCAAAGCAGCAUCGCGGUGGCGGAGCGUCGUUUGCGACGCCCAACACACAAAACAAGCGGUGAGUGCUUUGGGGUGGGGUGACUGCGUACCUUUUGUAUAAUGGGUCAGCGACUUAUAUUCUGUAGCAAGGUUAACCGAAUAGGGGAGCCGGAGGGAAACCGAGUCUUAAUUGGGCGUUAAGUUGCAGGGUAUAGACCCGAAACCCGGUGAUCUAGCCAUGGGCAGGUUGAAGGUUGGGUAACACUAACUGGAGGACCGAACCGACUAAUGUUGAAAAAUUAGCGGAUGACCUGUGGCUGGGGGUGAAAGGCCAAUCAAACCGGGAGAUAGCUGGUUCUCCCCGAAAGCUAUUUAGGUAGCGCCUCGUGAAUUCAUCUCCGGGGGUAGAGCACUGUUUCGGCUAGGGGGCCAUCCCGGCUUACCAACCCGAUGCAAACUGCGAAUACCGGAGAAUGUUAUCACGGGAGACACACGGCGGGUGCUAACGUCCGUCGUGAAGAGGGAAACAACCCAGACCGCCAGCUAAGGUCCCAAAGUCAUGGUUAAGUGGGAAACGAUGUGGGAAGGCCCAGACAGCCAGGAUGUUGGCUUAGAAGCAGCCAUCAUUUAAAGAAAGCGUAAUAGCUCACUGGUCGAGUCGGCCUGCGCGGAAGAUGUAACGGGGCUAAACCAUGCACCGAAGCUGCGGCAGCGACGCUGAUGCGUUGUUGGGUAGGGGAGCGUUCUGUAAGCCUGCGAAGGUGGCCUGUGAGGGUUGCUGGAGGUAUCAGAAGUGCGAAUGCUGACAUAAGUAACGAUAAAGCGGGUGAAAAGCCCGCUCGCCGGAAGACCAAGGGUUCCUGUCCAACGUUAAUCGGGGCAGGGUGAGUCGACCCCUAAGGCGAGGCCGAAAGGCGUAGUCGAUGGGAAACGGGUUAAUAUUCCCGUACUUGGUGUUACUGCGAAGGGGGGACGGAGAAGGCUAUGUUGGCCGGGCGACGGUUGUCCCGGUUUAAGCGUGUAGGUGUGUGUUCCAGGUAAAUCCGGUUCACUUUAACACUGAGGCGUGAUGACGAGGCACUACGGUGCUGAAGCAACAAAUGCCCUGCUUCCAGGAAAAGCCUCUAAGCAUCAGGUAACAUCAAAUCGUACCCCAAACCGACACAGGUGGUCAGGUAGAGAAUACCAAGGCGCUUGAGAGAACUCGGGUGAAGGAACUAGGCAAAAUGGUGCCGUAACUUCGGGAGAAGGCACGCUGACACGUAGGUGAAGUGAUUUACUCAUGGAGCUGAAGUCAGUCGAAGAUACCAGCUGGCUGCAACUGUUUAUUAAAAACACAGCACUGUGCAAACACGAAAGUGGACGUAUACGGUGUGACGCCUGCCCGGUGCCGGAAGGUUAAUUGAUGGGGUCAGCGCAAGCGAAGCUCCUGAUCGAAGCCCCGGUAAACGGCGGCCGUAACUAUAACGGUCCUAAGGUAGCGAAAUUCCUUGUCGGGUAAGUUCCGACCUGCACGAAUGGCGUAAUGAUGGCCAGGCUGUCUCCACCCGAGACUCAGUGAAAUUGAACUCGCUGUGAAGAUGCAGUGUACCCGCGGCAAGACGGAAAGACCCCGUGAACCUUUACUAUAGCUUGACACUGAACAUUGAGCCUUGAUGUGUAG